CCUCCUUUCUAAGGAAACCAAUAAAAUCAAUCAUCUUCAGUUUUGAAAGACUUAGGCAACUAAGUUUUUCUUCGUGACUUCACGAAGGGCCUAUAGCUCAGUUGGUUAGAGCACACGCCUGAUAAGCGUGAGGUCGGUGGUUCAAGUCCAUUUAGGCCCACCAGAGUUAUAGGUUUCGUAAGAACACAAAUUCUUUGAAAAUUAGGUAAAUAAUAGUAUUUAUCCGGAACAUUAAAGG
This 238-nucleotide transfer RNA is filed under the name Tomato big bud phytoplasma. Its description in RNAcentral is "transfer RNA-Ile". The stretch from base 87 to 160 matches the Rfam family "tRNA". Lineage: Bacteria; Bacillati; Mycoplasmatota; Mollicutes; Acholeplasmatales; Acholeplasmataceae. The record is from RNAcentral.